UACAGAGGGUGCAAGCGUUGUUCGGAAUUACUGGGCGUAAAGAGCUUGUAGGCGGUUUGUCGCGUCUGCUGUGAAAUUUCGGGGCUCAACCCCGAACUUGCAGUGGGUACGGGCAGACUAGAGUGUGGUAGGGGAGACUGGAAUUCCUGGUGUAGCGGUGAAAUGCGCAGAUAUCAGGAGGAACACCGGUGGCGAAGGCGGGUCUCUGGGCCGAUACUGACGCUGAGGAGCGAAAGCGUGGGGAGCGAACGGG
RNAcentral lists this ribosomal RNA (253 nucleotides) under uncultured bacterium. Its description in RNAcentral is "partial 16S ribosomal RNA". It matches the Rfam family "Bacterial small subunit ribosomal RNA", at positions 524 to 776 of the family's 1533-position model. The record is from RNAcentral.